This 253-nucleotide ribosomal RNA is filed under the name uncultured bacterium. RNAcentral's name for it is "partial 16S ribosomal RNA". It matches the Rfam family "Bacterial small subunit ribosomal RNA", at positions 524 to 776 of the family's 1533-position model. The record is from RNAcentral.
UACGUAGGGUGCAAGCGUUAUCCGGAAUCACUGGGCGUAAAGCGUGCGUAGGUGGCGCGUUAAGUGAGAUGUUAAAUCGUGUGGCUCAACCAUAUCGAUGCAUCUCAUACUGGCGUGCUAGAGGACGGCAGAGGCAAGUGGAAUUGGUAGUGUAGCAGUGAAAUGCGUAGAUAUUACCAGGAACACCAAUGGCGAAGGCAGCUUGCUGGGCCACUCCUGACACUGAGAUACGAAAGCGUGGGGAGCGAACAGG